GACGAACGCUGGCGGCGUGCUUAACACAUGCAAGUCGAACGGAGUGCCUAUGACAGAGGUUUCGGCCAAUUGAUUAGGUUACUUAGUGGCGGACUGGUGAGUAACGCGUGAGGAACCUGCCUUUCAGAGGGGGACAACAGUUGGAAACGACUGCUAAUACCGCAUGACGCAUGACUGGGGCAUCCCGGACAUGCCAAAGAUUUUAUCGCUGAAAGAUGGCCUCGCGUCUGAUUAGAUAGUUGGCGGGGUAACGGCCCACCAAGUCGACGAUCAGUAGCCGGACUAAGAGGUUGACCGGCCACAUUGGGACUGAGAUACGGCCCAGACUCCUACGGGAGCAGCAGGUGGGGAAUAGUUGGGCAAGUGGGACGCAAGUCUGACCCAGCAACGCCGCGU
This 396-nucleotide ribosomal RNA is filed under the name uncultured bacterium. Its description in RNAcentral is "bacterial SSU rRNA". It matches the Rfam family "Bacterial small subunit ribosomal RNA", at positions 28 to 402 of the family's 1533-position model. The record is from RNAcentral.